This 285-nucleotide ribosomal RNA is filed under the name Chryseobacterium sp. October_TSA5A5. Its description in RNAcentral is "partial 16S ribosomal RNA". It matches the Rfam family "Bacterial small subunit ribosomal RNA", at positions 1086 to 1372 of the family's 1533-position model. Lineage: Bacteria; Pseudomonadati; Bacteroidota; Flavobacteriia; Flavobacteriales; Weeksellaceae. The record is from RNAcentral.
CCUGCAACGAGCGCAACCUCCGUCACUAGUUGCCAUCAUUAAGUUGGGGACUCUAGUGAGACUGCCUACUCAAGUUGAGAGGAAGGUGGGGAUGACUUCAAAUCAUCACGGCCCUUACGCCUUGGGCCACUCACGUAAUACAAUGGCCGGUACAGAGGGCAGCUACACAGUGAUGUGAUGCAAAUCUCGAAAGCCGGUCUCAGUUCGGAUUGGAGUCUGCAACUCGACUCUUUGAAGCUGGAAUCGCUUGUAAUCGCGCAUCAGCCAUGGCGCGGUGAAUACGUU